This 442-nucleotide ribosomal RNA is filed under the name uncultured bacterium. RNAcentral's name for it is "partial 16S ribosomal RNA". It matches the Rfam family "Bacterial small subunit ribosomal RNA", at positions 338 to 795 of the family's 1533-position model. The record is from RNAcentral.
CCUACGGGGGGCUGCAGUAGGGAAUCUUUCACAAUGGGCGAAAGCCUGAUGGAGCAACGCCGCGUGCAGGAUGAAGGCCUUCGGGUUGUAAACUGCUUUUAUAAGCGAGAAAUAUGAUGGUAACUUAUGAAUAAGGAUCGGCUAACUACGUGCCAGCAGCCGCGGUCAUACGUAGGAUCCGAGCAUUAUCCGGAGUGACUGGGUGUAAAGAGUUGCGUAGGUGGCAUAAUAAGUAGCUAGUGAAAUCGGGUGGCUCAACCAUUCAGACUAUUAGCUAAAAGGUUAAGCUCGAGACCGUUAGGGGUAACUGGAAUGUCUAGUGUAGGAGUGAAAUCCGUAGAUAUUAGAAGGAACACCAAUAGCGUAGGCAGGUUACUGGGACGGUUCUGACACUAAGGCACGAAAGCGUGGGGAGCAAACGGGAUUAGAUACCCUUGUAGUC